This 1925-nucleotide ribosomal RNA is filed under the name Selaginella bryopteris. RNAcentral describes it as "bacterial LSU rRNA". It matches the Rfam family "Bacterial large subunit ribosomal RNA", at positions 1040 to 2408 of the family's 2925-position model. The record is from RNAcentral. Lineage: Eukaryota; Viridiplantae; Streptophyta; Lycopodiopsida; Selaginellales; Selaginellaceae.
UAAGGCGCCUAAAUACGAUUAAGUGGAAAGGAUGUGACGUUGCACAGACAGUGAGGAUGUUGGCUUAGAGGCAGCCACCAUUUAAACAGUGCGUAAUAGCUGACUCAUCGAGCGAUGUCGCGCCGAAAAUGAUUGGCGAUCAAAUCACAUACCGAAGCUAUGGAUUCAUAACCGGUUCGCCGGAUAUGAGUGGUAGGAGAGCGUAAUCAACGCAGCGAAGCUGGACGGAAACGGAAAGUGGAGCGUUGAUUAGUGAGAAUGCAGACACGAGUAGCGAGAAACGCGGUGAGAAACCGCGUCGCCGGAAGUCUCAGGGUUCCUGGGUAAAGGUAAUCUGCUCAGGGUUAGUCGGUGCCUAAGGGGGAGCCGAGAGGCGCACCCGAUGGGAAGCCGGUUAAUAUUCCGGCACCUGGAUGUGGAUUCUCCACGGCAACGUAACUGAACGCGGAGACGUCGGCGGGGGUCCUGGGAAGAGUUCUCUUUUCUUCCGGUGCGCCCCCGGCGGCCCAACAGGUGAGAAUCCUGUUCGCCGUAAACCCAAGGUUUCCUGGGCCAGGUUCGUCCUCCCAGGGUUAGCCGGGAGCUAAGAUGAGGCCGUAAGGCGUAAUCGAUGCACAGCAGGUUAAAUAUUCCUGCGCUUGCCAGGGUUAAGGCUGCGAAUGACACAUGGGAUCACAUCAACUAGACAAUUGAAUGUUGAGCUUAGGGUUCGCCCGAAGCGUAUUGGUGGGGUCCUGUGUCGAGAAAAGUUCGCAGUUGUUCCCCGGACAACCCGUACCGUAAACCGACACAGGUAGACGAGGAGAAUAUCCUAAGGCGCUCGAGAGAACUGUUGUCAAGGAACUCGGCAAAUUAACCCCGUAACUUCGGGAUAAGGGGUGCCCUGUGGGGUGUCAAAGCUCCGCGGGGCCGCAGAGAAAUGGAUCUGGCGACUGUUUACUAAAAACACAGGUCCGUGCGAAGUCGUAAGACGAUGUAUACGGACUGACUCCUGCCCGGUGCUGGAAGGUUAAGUGGAGGGGUGCAAGCUCUGAAAUGAAGCCCAGGUAAACGGCGGCCGUAACUAUAUGGUGACGGAUCGCAGGUGUUGUUCUUCCUUAUCGGAUUGGAAGGGCGGCUGAGCGGUUCCUGGAAAGAGCCCUCCGUGAGAUCGUACCCGAAACCGACACAGGUGGGCGAGGAGAGUAUCCUAAGGCGCUCGGGAGAACCUUCGUUAAGGAACUCGGCAAAUUAGCCCCGUAACUUCGGGAGAAGGGGUACCGCGGUAGCGUGAAGCGUCGAGCACGUGGAGCGCGAGGCGGGCGCAGAGAAUAGGCCCAUGCGACUGUUUACCAAAAACACAGCUCCCUGCAAACGCGGAAGCGGACGUAUAGGGGGUGACGCCUGCCCGAUGCCGGAAGGUCAAGGGGAAGGGUGACGAGCCCCGAACCGAAGCCCCGGUCAAUGGCGGCCGUAACUAUGACGGUCCUAAGGUAGCGAAGUUCCUUGUCGGGUAAGUUCCGACCUGCACGAAAAGCGUAACGCUGGCCACACUGUCUCGACCCGAGACUCAGUGAAGUUGAAAUCGCUGUGAAGAUGCGGCGUAGCUGCGGAAAGACGGAAAGACCCCGUGAACCUUUACUACAGCUUUACACUGAACUUUGAACUUGUUUGUGUAGGAUAGGUGGGACCCUUUGAAGUGGGGGCGCUAGCUCUCAUGGAGGGGACGUUGAAAUACCACCCUGACAAUUUCGGAGUUCUAACCUCGGCCCAUCAUCUGGGCUGGGAACAAUGUAUGGUGGGUAGUUUGACUGGGGCGGUCUCCUCCCAAAGAGUAACGGAGGAGUGCAAAGGUACGCUCAGCGCGGUCGGUCAUCGCGCACAGAGUGCAAUGGCACAAGCGUGCUUAACUGUGAGACGUACAUGUCGAACAGGUGCGAAAGCAG